GAUAAACGCUGGCGGUGUGCUUUAUGCAUGCAAGUCGAACGGGCAUUAGCAAUAAUGUCAGUGGCAGACGGGUGAGCAACACGUAAGUGACCUGCCCUAAAGUGGGGAACAACUCUGAGAAAUCGGAGCUAAUACCGCAUGUGGUUCUUUUUGUAAAGGGGAAGAAUUAAAGCCGUAAGGCGCUUUAGGAGGGGCUUGCGUCCGAUUAGCUAGUUGGUGGGGUAACGGCCUACCAAGGCUACGAUCGGUAGCUGGUUUGAGAGGACGACCAGCCACACUGGGACUGAGACACGGCCCAGACUCCUACGGGAGGCAG
RNAcentral lists this ribosomal RNA (316 nucleotides) under uncultured Pseudomonadota bacterium. RNAcentral's name for it is "bacterial SSU rRNA". It matches the Rfam family "Bacterial small subunit ribosomal RNA", at positions 28 to 351 of the family's 1533-position model. Lineage: Bacteria; Pseudomonadati; Pseudomonadota. The record is from RNAcentral.